UACAGAGGGUGCGAGCGUUGUUCGGAUUUACUGGGCGUAAAGGGCGCGCAGGCGGCGCAUUUUGUCAGGCGUGAAAGCCCCGGGCUUAACCUGGGAACUGCGUUUGAUACGGAUGGGCUAGAGUUCGGGAGAGGAGAGUGGAAUUCCCAGUGUAGAGGUGAAAUUCGUAGAUAUCGGAAGGAACACCGGUGGCGAAAGCGGCGCGCUGGACCUCUUCUGACGCUGAGGCGCGAAAGCCAGGGGAGCAAACGGG
Molecule: ribosomal RNA, 253 nt
Filed under: uncultured bacterium
Lineage: Bacteria
Description: partial 16S ribosomal RNA
Rfam family: Bacterial small subunit ribosomal RNA
Source: RNAcentral